UAACGCGUGGGAAUCUGCCGAACAGUUCGGGCCAAAUCCUGAAGAAAGCUCAAAAGCGUUGUUUGAUGAGCCUGCGUAGUAUUAGGUAGUUGGUCGGGUAAAGGCUGACCAAGCCAAUGAUGCUUAGCUGGUCUUUUCGGAUGCCCAGC
This is a non-coding RNA of Oryza glaberrima (African rice), 149 nucleotides long. Lineage: Eukaryota; Viridiplantae; Streptophyta; Magnoliopsida; Poales; Poaceae. The record is from Rfam.